GGUUCUUAAGGGACCUCUAUAGUUCUCGGGACACCCUUCAGGAACUUAGACCUUUCUUUCAGUCUUUCUCCUGUCUGCCUCUCUCUGGGCCUCUCUAGCACACCUGUGCAGGGUAGUUCUUAGGUGUCAUAAAGAUGGGGCUCCCAGGAUGAGCUACCACUGUGGGCAAUUGCUUCUUUCCAUGGACUUGUCUCCUCUUGCCUGGAUUCAGCAGCCUAUCAGGCUGAGUCACAGACAGGGCUGCUGAAGGAACAAAUUGUACUGGCCUUUCCCCAGCAAGACUGCCUCACCCUGAAUUUCAGUAGGUCUUUUAACCCCUCCCAGAAUCUGUAGCCUUCCUGCCCAUUUUCCUGUUGACAAAUUCUGACUACCUGGCAUCCCGAUGCAGAAGGAACAUUCUAGGCCCUGAAGACCUGGGUUUUGUUUUGCCUUUUCACAAGCAAUCCUUAAUACCUCAAUUUUAGAAGUGUACUGUUUUCCUGCUGGAGGGAAGCCGAGUAUUAAAACUCAUUUUAGGUGGAGGACCCCAACAGCCCAACUGUCAGGGAGACUACUGUGAUCAGUGCUGUGUAGGAGGAGCUGGGAGGAAGGAUGUCACAUUCAAUUCAGAGUCCAUUAGGAUCCAGACGCUCCCCUGCAAUGACUUCCUAAUCCAGACAGCGCAUGCAAAUCCAAGAGUGGGAACGAGGGAAGCAUGAAUGAUUGGAUUAGCUGGUCGGCCUCCGUGCGCUUUUGCAGUAUCAGCAAUGUGCAGUUGCUGCAGCCCUGCCUCGGACCUGGGCGUGCACAUGGACACACAGACACGUUCAUUCACAGGCUGGGGAGGAGACCCUUCCAUGUCAUUCAGCCGAGAGGGCCACAGACUCAUAGACAAGAGGAGGGCUUCACCCAGGCCGGACACAGACAGAGGUUAUGAUUUUGAUGUGACAUCUAAGAAAUCUUCAACCUGGAAUCACAAGUUUUUGUUUAUAUUUUCUCCUACAGCCAUAGCAUCUCAGGACAUGUUUAGUGUGACAGAAUGAGAGUUUCUCGUCCGGCUGGUGUGGAGAUGAGGAAAACUUGCAGGACUUGUGAACGACAGCGGAAGCUGCAAAGUGUGGUGGAGAUCUCUGUCCUGCUGUUUAAGAAGUGGGCCUCCGAGGGUCUGAGCCUAGCCACCUAGAGGAGAGUGGUCUGGCCAUCAUAGAGUUCCUCAUGCCACAUCUCAUGAGCACUUACCUUCUCGUACAUAAAUAUCGGGCAGUGGAAUCGGAGCAUGUGUCCCCUGACUGGAAGCAGUGACAACCACGGCAGCAGGUUUAUUUUUAAAUAAAGAUUGGAAAGUUACAAGGC
RNAcentral lists this long non-coding RNA (1332 nucleotides) under Mus musculus (house mouse). Its description in RNAcentral is "predicted gene, 31816". The record is from RNAcentral. Lineage: Eukaryota; Metazoa; Chordata; Mammalia; Rodentia; Muridae.